AGUUCAGAACUGGACUGAUAAAAUGACUCCAGGAUAGCUCCUGGUAUGUGGCUACAAGAACCUACUAGGAAGGAAACAGCAGGAGCACCUUGGGUUCAAAGUACCUGCUUCUUGUGUUUCAUCAUGACAGCAGAAACAGUGCACCACCGGGAGACAGAAGCCUAAAGUGAAGUAGCAGGAAGUGACUAACCGUGAUUGGAGUGGGUCAGAGGGCAUUACCCUUGGGAUUGGAGACAAUUGAAGCAAACACCUGCUCCCACAACAAUGCCUCUAUGGCCUUGGCCCACUUCCUCUGCUGUGACAAGCAUCUUCACAACAGAUGAAGCAGGAACUUCAUCGCAAAGAAGUCCAUGGAGCCGCCAAACUGGAGAAGGCUAUUGUAGAAAAAUCAAAUUAUGUUUUAUGGUUCUGACCCAUCACAGACAGCCAGUUAUUACUUAUCUGAAGGAGGAAGAGGAGAAAUUAGAGAAGCAGUG
Symphalangus syndactylus (siamang) is the source of this 476-nucleotide long non-coding RNA. RefSeq lists it as uncharacterized. The record is from RefSeq and is a predicted model, not a curated record. NCBI's taxonomy places the organism in Eukaryota, Metazoa, Chordata, Mammalia, Primates, Hylobatidae.